This 30-nucleotide non-coding RNA is filed under the name Mus musculus (house mouse). The record is from RNAcentral. Lineage: Eukaryota; Metazoa; Chordata; Mammalia; Rodentia; Muridae.
UGACAACUGUGAUAGCCUACACAGAUGUGA